This is a long non-coding RNA of Humulus lupulus (European hop), 196 nucleotides long. RefSeq lists it as uncharacterized. The record is from RefSeq and is a predicted model, not a curated record. Lineage: Eukaryota; Viridiplantae; Streptophyta; Magnoliopsida; Rosales; Cannabaceae. The transcript is spliced from 3 exons.
UGGCAUGUGGUUUGCUCCCACAAGGUUUGAGAAUGAAGUCAUACUAUUUUGGUUGUGGUAAUCAACCAAGGAAUAGCUUAUGGACUUACAGUUACAAGCCAAAAACUGCCAUGGAGGUCUGUGUUAAUGAUGAAUCUGUGAAGUUUUUGAGUGGGUGGCUACAACAAUGGCGUGAAAGAAAGUUUCAAAUAUGCAA